AUUGAACGCUGGCGGCAUGCCUUACACAUGCAAGUCGAACGGUAACGGGCCUUCGGGUGCCGACGAGUGGCGAACGGGUGAGUAAUACAUCGGAACGUGCCCGAUCGUGGGGGAUAACGAGGCGAAAGCUUUGCUAAUACCGCAUACGAUCUACGGAUGAAAGCAGGGGACCGCAAGGCCUUGCGCGGACGGAGCGGCCGAUGGCGGAUUAGGUAGUUGGUGGGAUAAAAGCUUACCAAGCCGACGAUCUGUAGCUGGUCUGAGAGGAUGAUCAGCCACACUGGGACUGAGACACGGCCCAGACUCCUACGGGAGGCAGCAGUGGGGAAUUUUGGACAAUGGGCGCAAGCCUGAUCCAGCCAUGCCGCGUGCAGGAUGAAGGCCUUCGGGUUGUAAACUGCUUUUGUACAGAACGAAAAGCCUUCUUUUAAUACAGGAGGGUCAUGACGGUACCGUAAGAAUAAGCACCGGCUAACUACGUG
Molecule: ribosomal RNA, 482 nt
Filed under: uncultured bacterium
Lineage: Bacteria
Description: partial 16S ribosomal RNA
Rfam family: Bacterial small subunit ribosomal RNA
Source: RNAcentral